RNAcentral lists this unclassified non-coding RNA (23 nucleotides) under Mus musculus (house mouse). RNAcentral's name for it is "oocyte_clustered_small_RNA9633". Lineage: Eukaryota; Metazoa; Chordata; Mammalia; Rodentia; Muridae. The record is from RNAcentral.
UAUCCAAAAUUGAUCACCUCCAC